This 114-nucleotide non-coding RNA is filed under the name Thiomonas delicata. RNAcentral describes it as "SAH sequence". It matches the Rfam family "SAH (S-adenosyl-L-homocysteine) riboswitch aptamer". The record is from Rfam by way of RNAcentral. Lineage: Bacteria; Pseudomonadati; Pseudomonadota; Betaproteobacteria; Burkholderiales.
CUCCCUGAGGAGCGUUGCAACGCACGGUUUGUCCGUCGCCAGGCUCAGGGACCUGAUCGCAAACCGCCGACCUUUCUGGUCGUUCGUGUUUUCUUUCAACGGCGCUCACCCAAC